CGCGGGGGCGGGAGCUCAGCCCGCCCGUCACCCGACCCCCGGCCUCGACCCCCGGCCCGCGGCUCGCCCGCCCCGGCUCUAACGCCCCGCCGCCCCGGCCAACCCAGCCGACGCCGUCCCGCCGGCCCAGACGCUGGCUUCGCUACGGCUCCGGCUCCAGCUAGCUCGCCGCUUCCGCCUUCUCCAGCCCCGCCCCGGCCGCGGCCCCGCCCCCGCGCUCGCACCGGGCCAAGCCCCCCUCUCACGGCCCCGAGCUUCGGGGCACUCCCGACGCUUUACGCUGAAGCAACUGUAGGGCCCUGCAGCGCGGCCCCGCCCACGCAGCAGGUUCCCAGCCGCUGCGGCCUGGCGGCCUCCCUACACACCAGCCCAGGAAGAGGCGGUGCCAAAGGGCCGCCAGUUUCCGCCCAUCCAGAAAGCGCGCUGAUUGACAGGCGAUCUGAACAAUAACGGCAAGUGCUUGGUCGAGGCUCCCGUGAGUCUCUGUGCCCCUGUGCUAAACAACCAGUCAAGAUCUUCUUCCUUUUGGGCGGGCUCGAGGACUGAAUUUGCUGGCAAAAGAAAGAGUUCAUUGGACCGCACUGGAGGAAGUCGCCCUGAACGCCACUUCUGGAGGUGUUUUGAUCCCGUGUGGUCUUUGUGGGUACUUUCUGGGUUUUGCCCACACUACAGAUGGAGAGAGCGGUUGUGUUAGCCAAUAGGCUCACACCCUGUCUGGAGGCUGGAAGGCCCAUUGGGUAGAAAGUCUUGAUUGACGUGAGUGCAAGCCAAUCAACACUCCCGAGGAAGGGCUCCGGAAAGUUCCCUCAACUGCUAAUUCCCCAGGAUGCACAGGACCUCAGCAUGGCUGAAGGCAUGUGCUGACCAGAAAAGGGCUGACAGCUGGGGACUGUGCUGACCACACUCCCUGCCUUGGAACAAAAAGCAUGGACAAAUGAAAUACUCAAAAUAAGUUGCCUUACAUAAAGCGCUAACCACAGAAGUAAAUACGGGGACUUCCCUAGUGGUCCAGUGGUUAAGAAUCCGCCUUCCAAUGCAGGGGACGCAGGUUCAAUCCCUGGUCGGGGAACUAACAGCCCACAUGCCAUGGGGCAACUAAGCCCACGUGCUGUAAUUACUGAGCCCGUGCGCUCUGGAGCCCAUGCGCUGCAACAAAGAUCCCAUGUGCCACAACUAAGACCCUCCGCAGCCUAAUUAAUUAAUUAAUUAAAAAGAAAAAGUAGGGGCUUCCCUGGUGGUGCAGUGGUUAAGAAUCCGCCUACCAAUGCAGGGGACACGGAUUCGAGCCCUGGUCCAGGAAGAUCCCACAUGCUGCGGAGCAACUGAGCCCGUGCGCCACAACUACUGAGCUUGUGCUCUAGAGCCCACGAGGCACAACUACUGGCCCCUCGUGCCACAACUACUGAAGCCCGUGCGCCAGAACUACUGAAGCCUGCGCGCUUAGAGCUUGUGCUCUGCAACAAGAGAAGAGAAGCAAUUCGCUUGCUGCAACUAGAGAAAGCCCGUGCGCAGGAACAAAGACCCAAUGCAGCCAAAAAUAAAAAAUAAAUUAAUUGAUUAAAAAGAAAAAGUAAAUAGGGCUACGGAACUGCAAGUAAAAUAAAUUCAUUUGGUAAAGUAAACAGAACUUUUAUCCGAAUGAUAGGUAAUGAAAGACUAGAACCACCCUUUGUUCUUACUCAUCCCCUUACUUGGAGUGCUUGUCUCCUCUUCUUGAGCAUAGCUACUGCCUUAGUUUUGUGUGGUCAUGUGACUGAGUUCUGCCCAGUGGAAUAUGGGCAGGAGUGACCUGAGUUACUUCCAGCCUUGGCCAUUUCAAAACUCUCAAGAGAUUCUUUGCAUUCUCCUGUUUAGGGUAACAUAUUCUGGUUUCCUUUAACAUCCAGACCUGAUGGAAAGAAUUUCACAUCACUGGAGAUCUGGACUUUGAGUGGGGUGUAUUGACUGGGACUUGGGGUUACAUCCCUUGCAGAAAGAGUUGACUAUGUUCUAUAUACAGGAUAAAGGUAUACACAGACACUUGGUCACGUGAAAGGUGGAUUGUAACAGAUUGGCUAUGUUAUUAAACCAAUUUCCUUUUGUUUAGGCACAUAAAGUCCAGUUCCCAGUCUCUCUUGGAAUGCUAGAGGUGGCCUUGUAAUUACCUAAGUUCUAGCCAAUGGCACACAGGUGGAGGUAUCUUUUGCCUCCUCCAUGCUCAGUCAUUUAAAUUCUCCUUUGUGAUCAUCUAUGCUCUUUCUUCCUGUAUCAUCAAGUCAGAUUCAAAGUAUUCAGCAGAGGACUGUGAGGGCUAGGGGAUGGUGGAGGCACUCACUGGGCCACAGGAGCUAGAUCCCUAAAUGUUUCUGUGCCGCAGAGCCCCUAGACAACGUGCAGUACAUGGUACCAUAAGUGAAAUAAAUGUUUGUUUUAUAAAGCCAUUGUAAUUUUGGAGAUGUCUGCUAAAGCAGAUAACUUGUCUGUACAACCACAGGUCUAGCUCCCUGUAUUAGUUUCCUAUUGCACUGUAACAAAUUACUGGGUGGAUUAAAACAACACAGAUUUAUUAUCUCACAGCUCUGGAGGUCAGAAAUCUGAAAUCAGUAUCACUGGACUAAAGUUAAGGUGUUGGCAGGGCUGUGUUUCUUCUGGAUGUUCUAGGGGAGAGUCUGAUGCCUUGCCUUUUCCAGCUUCUGGAGGCUGCCUGUAUUCCUUGGCUCCUCCUCACUCCAACCACUGGCCAUCACAUCUCUUCGCUUACUCUGACUCUCCUUCCUUCUUUCACUUAUAAUGAUUACAUUGGGCCCACCUGGAUAAUCCAGGAUACUCUCUCCAUUUCAAGAUCUUUAAGUUAAUCACAUCUGCAAAGUCCCUUUUGUCAUGUAAAGUAACAUAUUCACAGUUUCCCAGAACUAGGAUAUGGACAUCUUGGGAGCCAUUAUUCUGCUACUGAUGAAAUAAAUUAUUUUAAGAUGGGACAAGAAAUUUUAAACAUAAAACUCCCUCUCUGCCCAUUUGAGCCACUACCCUCUCCCCUUUAGUGUGCAUUGUGCAUCUGCAUUACACAUUAACUAGAUCCCCUUAAAAAACACAGAAAUGCCACCAAAAAAAAGCUAUUUCCUUCUGGUGCCAGCAAGGUAACUCCUUAGGAGACAACAUUCCUUUCUCAAUCCUGUAAAGGCUAACAAUAACCCACUAUUAGUCUUGUUGGACUAUGUAAACUGUCAGUAUGUUAUUUGAUGUACAACCUUUUGUCUCAAAAACUUAUAUAACUGUGCUUUGACCUCUAGUGGGUGGAACAGUCCUCAGAACUUUCUGAAAGUCUGUCUCCUGGGUUAUAAUCCUCAGGUUGGCUCGAAUUAAACUUUCCACUUCCUUCUUAGAGUGGCUCUUCAUCGAUUUUUACACUGACACUUCCAUACUUCACUUCCUUCAUUUCUUUGCUCAGUAUUCUGCUCUGUUAGGUCUUCACUGCCCGUCUUUGUAAGACUCCAUCACAUCCUCACAUUUUUUCAUACCACCUCCCUGAUUUUUUUCCUUAGUCUUCAUCACUAUCUCAAGUAUCUUUUCAACUAGAAUGUAAGUUUCAUGAGGGAAGAAAUUUUUUCCAGUUUUGCAGUGUGAUAUUCCUAAUGCCUAGAACAAUGCCUGACAUUUGAAUAGG
This is an RNA transcript of Physeter macrocephalus (sperm whale), 3643 nucleotides long. RefSeq lists it as uncharacterized. The transcript has 3 exons. The record is from RefSeq and is a predicted model, not a curated record. NCBI's taxonomy places the organism in Eukaryota, Metazoa, Chordata, Mammalia, Artiodactyla, Physeteridae.